Molecule: RNA transcript, 3063 nt
Organism: Girardinichthys multiradiatus
Lineage: Eukaryota; Metazoa; Chordata; Actinopteri; Cyprinodontiformes; Goodeidae
Exons: 11
Source: RefSeq, a predicted model, not a curated record
AAGAAGAAAACCUCGGCGUGACGAAACAAUUGCGACUCUUGUCAUCUGGAUUUACGAUUGUUUUUAGUUAUAAAUACAGUGUACUGAAGUAUCUGCUGAGGACCGGUGAUAAAUGCUUAUAGUUCGACCAAAGCCAGGGUAAAUUACUGUGCCUGACGGUGAUUUGAGGGUAUUUCGCUCCUGCUGGUGGGAAGUUUGUUUUGACACGUGAGGACAUAAUGGCUUUCGCAAAUUUGUUCUCUGGACUUUCUUCUAUGGGUGAAGAUGUGAGGAGCCCUGGUGGCGCUUACGUCACAUCCAGCAACAGAAUGGAGAAUGGUUCAAGAGGCAGGAAGAGGAAAACACAGAGAGAGCAGCCCGGCUCGCAGAAGAAGAGAUGUCAUCAAAUCCAGACAGAAGACAACUUUACCUCACGGAACAAAUCCUGCCACAAGCAGGUCACUGAGCGUGAGCGCUCUUUUCCAGGCCAAAAAUAUAACCACAGCUUUAACUCCAGUUACAACAGCAGGCAGCACUGCAAGGGUCAGAGUGAUCAAACUGAAGACCACUGUAAUAUGAAGAAGGAGAUACAUCAAGGAAAGAAGAUCAAGAAGAAAUAUCAGCAACGUCAUAACAGAGGUGCAAAACCAGUGUCAAAAACGCAGGUGAAACCAAAAUUCAUGACUCAGGAAUUUAAGGACCAGAAUGCCUUGUUGGUGGACGGCCGUCUACUGUGUCGACAUUUUCUUUCUGGACGAUGCAUUAAGGGGGAUAAAUGCCAGUUGGAGCAUUGUCAAGGCUACAAUGGCCUCAUCAAAGAAGUUUGCAAAUUUUAUGUCCAAGGAUUCUGCUUGAAAGGAGAGAGCUGCAUAUACUUGCACAAGUCGUUUCCAUGCAAGUUUUUCCACAGGAAAGGAAAAUGUUUGCUAGAAGGAAACUGCAGGUUCUCCCAUGAGCCACUUAAUGACAUCACUGAAAAGCUGUUGGAUGAGGCAUUAAAACAGGAGAAAUACUUUUACGAACUUGCAAAUAAAAAUAAAGAGGAGUCGUCAGAACAGCAGGCAAACAAAGAGGACACCAAACCUGCUGAGGAACAAAAGAACCCCGAUGUACUCACACAACCUCUCAGGCCCAGCUUUUACAACAGCACCGAUACUGAGAAGGAACCCCAUGAGCAUCUCGAUGUAACAGAACAGCGUGAAUUAGACGCUGACCAACCUCACAGCUCUUCAGUAAACACUCAGAACCAACAGGAGCCCGUUUGUUACUCGGUGGAAGCCGUGCUUGGACCUCAGCUGUCCAGAACUUUCUUCAGUUUCUCUAAAACUCUUGUAAGUCAGGAUUCUUCUUCUGUCUGUGACCCUCACACUUCUUCUGACAGAACUUACGCAAACCAAAGCAAAUUCCCCAACUCUGUUGAAGCCGUCUUCAGCUCCUAUACAUCAGCAGAUGAUUCCUCUAUAGGCCAAACACCUGAUCUUCACAGUGGGCAGACUGCUUUUUACGCACAAGUUAUUUCUGAAAAAAUCAAAGUUCCUUUUAGAAAAGGGAAGCCACCUCCAAAUAUCUGCAUUGUAGAUCAUGGAUCUAAAGAAACAAUGCCAAAGAACUUGUUGUCGCCUGAGGAGAAAGAUGGCCUAAAUUCAGACUCCGUACCUGUUCUGUCUCAUACAUCAGAGGAAGUGUUGGAAGAGCAGAAAACUCACACCAUACAAGAGUUAUUGUAUCCAGAGAGGUCUGCGUCUUCCAGAAGUAGAGAAAUCAAGCGUUUGCUCGCAGGGACCAAGUGCCACGAAGGUUCGGCGUGUCCUCCAAAACAUCCCACCCAGCUGAAGCCGAAUCUUUUUAAAGGAAGAGCCGCUGUUCCAGUUGAACCUGUAACUACCUGUAAUAAGAGAAGAGAUGCUGCUGAUGAUGCUGUUCAUGACUUUCAACUCUCUGAGAUCCUCCCAAAUUCCAAAAAGAAACACUCAAAUGUCCACACUGGUACAGGAAAACAUGCUUCUUCUAACACCUUAAAAUCCUGCAGCAAAACAGCAAAUCUGGGAGAUUUUUCAGCUGAACGUAAUGAAACCCAGAAAACACCAUUUAGUAACCUUUUUGCAAGCACUCUCACUAAUAGUGUUGCACCAGGAUCAGACUCUUCGACUGCAGCUAUGAAACCUCAGCAGUCUGAGGAUGUAAGAAUUCCCUCCUUGCCCUUCUUCAGCCUCUUUGCAGCGCCUCUUAGUGAGAAUCCACCUCGUUUUCCAUGUUCAGAGACUGAAACCGCGGACUCUGCCGCUCCUCUUGGUAAGCCGCAGUCGGCUGAGAAUGCAGCAUCAAACUCCAAACAGAGGGACUCUGAUCGGAGGUUCUUCCCAUCCCAGGUUAGAACAUCUCACAGGCAAAUGUCUUCUGAAUCAUUCCAGAGCUCCAAAACCGAAAACAAUGCUCUGAAACCGCCGUCAGCUACAGUUUGCAACACGGCAUCCGGCUCUCCCUGUGAUCCGUCUUCAAGUCGGACUCAUCAGAAUCUGCCUGACGUUUCGUCCUCGAGAGAGGCUUCAGCACCUUCAGUCCUGAAAUCCCUCUUUAUGCAGCUGAGGCCGUAUCAAGAGGACGGAGGACAGGUCACAGGUCAGAGCAGAGUCCAAUCAGGUUUGAUUUCAGAAGAUUAAAAGAAGAAACAACAGAACAGAAGAAAAACCUGGACAAAAGAAGAAGAUGAUGAUGGCAGUUUGGUACUUUGGUGACUUUAUGUCUUUUUUGGCAGUCCAUUGAAACACCAUCCAGACUCCAGCCAGACCAGCAGCCAAGCUCAAUCUGUCACCUGUCCAGGUGUAGGUGGGGCUCAGGUGAGCAACUCUGGCCCGUAUUGCUUACCAUUCAACCCACUGGCUCCACUGACUGUGGAGGGAGCCCCACCGCAGACGGAGAGCUGGUUAAUACAAAAGUCGCUGUAAAAACAAAUACCUUUUUAAGACUUUAUUUUAAAACCUAAAGACCUGUGAUGGAUAUUUGUUUUCAUACAGAUAUUCAGUGCAUUAUUAAUUUAUUGAAGUAAAACAUUAAAUCCUAAUAAACUAUGGGGAACAAAAAACA